UGGGGAAUCUUCCACAAUGGACGAAAGUCUGAUGGAGCAACGCCGCGUGAGUGAAGAAGGCUUUCGGGUCGUAAAACUCUGUCUUCAGGGACGAAUGUACUUCUCGUGAAUAAUGAGAGGUAAUGACGGUACCUGAGGAGGAAGCCACGGCUAACUACGUGCCAGCAGCCGCGGUAAUACGUAGGUGGCAAGCGUUGUCCGGAAUUAUUGGGCGUAAAGCGCGCGCAGGCGGGAAAUCAAGUCCGAUUUAAAAGUGCGGAGCUCAACUCCGUGAGGGGUCGGAAACUGAUUUUCUUGAGUGCAGGAGAGGAAAGUGGAAUUCCCAGUGUAGCGGUGAAAUGCGUAGAGAUUGGGAGGAACACCAGUGGCGAAGGCGACUUUCUGGACUGUGUCUGACGCU
This 400-nucleotide ribosomal RNA is filed under the name uncultured bacterium. RNAcentral describes it as "bacterial SSU rRNA". It matches the Rfam family "Bacterial small subunit ribosomal RNA", at positions 355 to 747 of the family's 1533-position model. The record is from RNAcentral.